AUAGCUCACUGGUCGAGUCGGCCUGCGCGGAAGAUGUAACGGGGCUAAACCAUGCACCGAAGCUGCGGCAGCGAACGUAUCACCCAAGACAACUUUACGGAGUUGACGAUUGACGGAGCGAAGCGACGUCAAAGCGUUCAUUAAAGUCGAGUUGGCUUAGGGAUACGUUCGUUGGGUAGGGGAGCGUUCUGUAAGCCUGUGAAGGUGUGUCGUGAGGCAUGCUGGAGGUAUCAGAAGUGCGAAUGCUGACAUAAG
Molecule: ribosomal RNA, 255 nt
Filed under: Salmonella enterica subsp. enterica serovar 1,4,[5],12:i:-
Lineage: Bacteria; Pseudomonadati; Pseudomonadota; Gammaproteobacteria; Enterobacterales; Enterobacteriaceae
Description: partial 23S ribosomal RNA
Rfam family: Bacterial large subunit ribosomal RNA
Source: RNAcentral